Molecule: long non-coding RNA, 1815 nt
Organism: Pteropus alecto (black flying fox)
Lineage: Eukaryota; Metazoa; Chordata; Mammalia; Chiroptera; Pteropodidae
Exons: 7
Source: RefSeq, a predicted model, not a curated record
GCCGCAGGCGGAACCUCGGGCUCCGCUUUCGGAGACUCGGGGUCCGGGAGUGGGACCCUGGCGCUGCCCCCGGCGGUGUUAACCCCGGGGGACAGGGUGGGGUCCCCAGCCCAGCACCCGGGGCCCCGCAGCUCGGCAGAGGGAGGCCCAGGAGCGCGCCAGGCCUACGUCCCGCUCCGCCAGGGGCGCGGUGCGCUCAGGGCGAGCGGGUCGCCGGCCUCGCCACGAGUUCAAGUGCAUCCGCGGCGUCGGCGCCCGCGGCUGUGGGGGCGAGUUCCCCACUGCUCCGCCCCUUCGCGGGGGUUCGGGGUGCCCUGCUGCUCCCAGGACCCCUCUCUCCAGCCUUCCUGGCCACGCUGGGCCGCCAGCCUGGGGUGCGAACCGGAGCGUACGAGCGGGGCGGGCAGCAGACUCGCGCCCUUGCUCCUCUCCGGCCCGGGCCCAUGGUCUGGGGCCCCCCAAAGACCAACGUGAAGGCUCCGCCUGGAAAAGAAGUCCGACUUCCUCUCCACGCUGCUCGGAGUGGAAUCUGGAAUCGGCAGGAAAUUGCUCAAACACGCAGCCUGAGCCUUUGCAGUCAGCCCUCGCUUUACUGAAGAGAAGCAGCUCCCACCAAAGUCUUGCCUCCCCCUCCCCUCGAAAGUCUCGCUCAGGGAGAGAGUACAGAUGACAUGUCCAUGACUCGGUUUUUGAGCCAUUCCCUGAAGAUAGCAAUUAUGAAUGUGGUCAGAGCCCACAAGAAAAGCCCGGAGCCAUACACUCAGCUAGGUGAAGCCAUGAAGAGAUUUCUGAAUAAUGACACAGCUUCUCAGAUGAUGGGGUACCAGGAAGGCAUUGCCAUGAAUAGGAGAAAAGGUGAUUUUUAAAUUUCUGGAAGAAAAGAGGAAGGCUGAUGGCAUAAUCAAAGAAGUCUCAUACAGUGGGGGGAAGUCACUCAGCUGAGACUGUGAGCUCCUAGAGUGUCUCUUAGAGUAGGCAGGCACUCGUACUGAAUGAAUGGAUAUGCUAAUUAUCAGCUGGUUGGUCCUGAGGAAGAAAGCUGCUAUUGGAAGUACUGAGGAGACCCAAUAAUAGAAACUACACCCUGGAAGACAACACCAGUGUAGAGCACACAGGAGGCCUGUGAUUUCCAUUUGCCACGAGGAUGUUACUCCCUGUGGCAGUACCCCUGCCACGAACUUCCCGAGAGCCCUGCUUUUCACCCCGCAGAGCAGGCUUGGGCUUUAUUGCAGUUGCUCAUCAAUCGUCUCAACUCUGGAAUGGACACCCUUCGAGAGCAACGCCCAUGUUGUUCUUGGCUCAGUGCUGGCACAUGGUGAAUGGCUCAGAAAAUAUGGAAGAGCUCUGAUUAGGUUAUGAUUUUCUGUUAUUAAAGUUCUUUACACGAACAUCUUGUUUUUACUAUUAGUUCCCUCAGAGGCAAUGAAGAGGCAAACCAGUGUGAUUUUUGUCUACUGUUUUCAAAUUUUGUAUUAUUUAAAUACAUGGUGAAGCCACUUAAUCAGAAAAAAGGAUAGGAGUAACUUAAUCAGAACCAACAUUACAGCUUCAAAAUCUCUGCAAGUUGGAAAAGAUUGUUUGAGAAAGGAAGGUACUACAUAAUCCUUAAAUACAAGAUUCAUCCCUUAAUUCUAUUGGUGCUUGGAGCAGCUACCCAAACCCUAAAAGUGAGUUUGUUUCCAGAACACCUGAAACAGAGACCACGUUUUUAUGAUGUUUGCCUUUCACAGUCAAGCCCACGUUAGGGAGCUAUAUUUUCCCUAAAUUUGUUUUUAAGUCAUUUGGGUUUUCCAAUAAAAUAGCGUUUUCAUUUUC